GGACAUGCCCCAAUUGCUAAAAUAUGGCCCCAAAAAACUCUCCAACAGACUACCUGCCCUCUUCCCCGUAUCUAGCCGACCGACUAGCCGUGCCCCAAAUCUAGCUCGGGAUCCCAUCCCCAGCAUCGAGCUCGGCAAUCCCCAUCGAGCAACCGCCGACACGGAAGUUUCCCUCCCGCCGUUUCUCCGCCAGGGUGUUGUGAUGGAUUCCCAAGAUGAUGCAAUGGGUAUGUAUACCAGUCCGUUGAGUCAAGUCGUUGUUGAUGAAGUUUGGGAUGACACUCAAAAUUGCAGCCCAUUUGGAGAGCAAUCAAUGCAAAAUGAACUUGGUACUCUUCCCAUGAGACCAAACAACAAGAGAACAAGAAAUUUCACCAACGAGGAAGACCAAGUGUUGGUCUUGACAUGGUUGCAUGCUAGUUCGGAUCCAAUAAUAGGGAACGAACAAAAGAAUGCUACUUACUGAAAGAGAAUCCAUGAGGAGUAUGAAAUGCAAAAGCCUGAAGGAAGUGAUCGGAAUAUUAGUUCACUCAUACAUCGUUGGUCUGUUGUGAAUGAACAAGUGGGCAGAUUUUGUGGUUGUUUUGAGAAACGCAAGUGGGAAGACAGAACAAGAUAAGAUUGUUGAGGCUUGCUCACUGUACAAAGCAACAGACGAGACUAAAAGAUCAUUCGUUUUGUUGCAAUGUUGGAGCUUGCUACGUUUCAAUAAAAAAUGGUUAGCUCAAAUUGAUAGGUCAUCUCAAAGUAGCAAAAAACUGGAGUCAAGUCCAAUGCAAGUCCAAGUAUGUCCAGAUCCGACACUAAACAUAUUGAUGACUCUGAAGCUACAUCUCGAGCCAAAGCAGAUCACUUGAGGAGACCUAUUGGCAAGAAGGCGGAGAAAGAGCGGCAAUGCCGAGGUAAAAAUGCUAGCUCGAUUGAUGAUAGUUCUAUUGUGAUGGCUUUGAAUCAUGUGUUUUCAAAGAGGAGAGAGGUGGAGGAAGCAAGAGAGAUGGCAAGACAAUCAAGAGAGAUGUCAAGAGAGAUGGCAAGACAAUCAAGAGAGUUAUCAAGAGAGGCAGGAAAAAGGGAGCGUUAUGCUGGACUACAUGCAAUUGAGCAAAGAAAGGUAGAAAUACAGGAGGUAAGUCACGAAAUGGAAAUCAUGAACAAGGACUUAAGUUCUAUGGAUGAGGACCAACAAGAGUACUACAAGAUGUUAAGACGUGAUAUCAUUGCCCGACAAUCUAAAAGAUAGAUUUGAACUAUUUGGUAUGAAAUAUUUGUUGUAUGGACAACUUGUACUAACUAUCUGUUGCAUGGACAACUUGUAUGAUAACCCAACUUAUUCCAUAGCAUUCUAGUAUCAGCUUCA
This is a long non-coding RNA of Brachypodium distachyon (stiff brome), 1357 nucleotides long. RefSeq lists it as uncharacterized. NCBI's taxonomy places the organism in Eukaryota, Viridiplantae, Streptophyta, Magnoliopsida, Poales, Poaceae. The transcript is spliced from 3 exons. The record is from RefSeq and is a predicted model, not a curated record.